Molecule: non-coding RNA, 24 nt
Filed under: Arabidopsis thaliana (thale cress)
Lineage: Eukaryota; Viridiplantae; Streptophyta; Magnoliopsida; Brassicales; Brassicaceae
Source: RNAcentral
UAUAUAUCCUCUUCACCAUGUUGC